Molecule: long non-coding RNA, 991 nt
Organism: Dreissena polymorpha
Lineage: Eukaryota; Metazoa; Mollusca; Bivalvia; Myida; Dreissenidae
Exons: 4
Source: RefSeq, a predicted model, not a curated record
AGUAAGUAUAACGUUUCAAGAUGGCGGAGCGAAUUGCAUGGUUAUUGUUACAAUUACGAUGGAUUCGCAGAUAAUUCGGAAAUAGAUCAGAUUGGGAUCAAUAACUGUAUUGCAUACGAUCAUUUACAUGUAUUACCAGGUGUGUGUUGCCAGUAAUGGUUGAAGAUAUGCCAAACAAAUUGUGCCUCUCUAUACAGACAGAUUUCAGGUCUCAAUUUCGACUUCAAAGGUCAACAUAUCACUGAUAUCAGGAAUUCUGUACAACUGUGGAACCAUGUAUGGUACGUGACCGCACAAUGUUGGUUGGCAAAAGGAUAUUGGAAUAAGCAAAGGGACUCAACAUUACACAGUCAUUUCAACAUGUAGAGUCUUGUCAGCAAUGAUGGAGCAGUACCUGGUACUUCAGAUUUCCAGAAUCUCGUCAUGAGCUGAAGAUCAUUGCCUAUGAAUUUCAUGAAUGAUGUAGAAUGAUUGGACUGUUGAUGGAACCCACAGUGCAUGUCCUGCUUCAACAUCUGAGCAUAGGUCCUUGUUUAUCAGCAGUUUAGUUCUUCAAGCAGUCUGUGACAGUAACUUGAAAUGUUUGGACAUAUGACCUGGAUGGCCAAGUUCUGUGCAUGCAGCCCAUUUAAAUAGGAACGGCCCAGUGGCGCAUUAAAUGGACAUUUUUCGAAUGUUCUCGAGGAUUCAGCUUACCGCCUGACAAAAAAUCUUGCUUUUUGUUCAGUAUCGAGGCCAUGGACAUUUGUAUCAUUUGCAAAAGAUACUGCGAUAUAUGUGCCUUUGUUCAUGCUUUAUAGUUGAUUAACAAUUGGAAGCCAUAACCUGUUUUAUAGGAUGGUGUUAGUGGGACAAUGAAUUUUGUAAAGAUUUAAAGACUGGAAAAGAUAAUUAAAAGUCAAAAGAGUUCUGCUAUUGUUAAGCAUGCUUUAUUGAUUUGUAAUGUUAGAAAGAUAGCAUUAUUAACAGAAUAAAAUGUCCAUAAUUUGAA